AUUGAACGCUGGCGGCAGGCCUAACACAUGCAAGUCGAACGAGUGGCGGACGGGUGAGUAAUGUCUGGGAAACUGCCCGAUGGGGGGGGAUAACUACUGGAAACGGUAGCUAAUACCGCAUACCAUCGGAUUUGCACGGAUGGGAUUAGCUAGUGGGGGGGGUAACGGCUCACCUAGGCGACGAUCCCUAGCGGGCCUGAGAGGAUGACCAGCCACACGGGAACUGAGAAACGGUCCAGAUUCCUACGGGAGGAAGCAGUGGGAAAUAUUGCACAAGGGGCGAAAGCCGGACGAAGCCAUGCCGGGUGUAUGAAGAAGGCCUUCGGGUUGUAAAGUACUUUCAGCGAGGAGGCGUUACCUGCCGAAGAAGCACCGGCUAACUCCGUGCCAGCAGCCGCGGUAAUUC
This 406-nucleotide ribosomal RNA is filed under the name uncultured bacterium. RNAcentral describes it as "partial 16S ribosomal RNA". It matches the Rfam family "Bacterial small subunit ribosomal RNA", at positions 29 to 526 of the family's 1533-position model. The record is from RNAcentral.